Molecule: ribosomal RNA, 254 nt
Filed under: uncultured bacterium
Lineage: Bacteria
Description: partial 16S ribosomal RNA
Rfam family: Bacterial small subunit ribosomal RNA
Source: RNAcentral
UACGAAGGGGGCUAGCGUUGCUCGGAAUUACUGGGCGUAAAGCGCACGUAGGCGGUGUGUCACGUCGGCCGUGAAAACCUGCAGCUUAACUGUGGGCGUGCGGUCGAUACGGGCAUCACUGGAGUUCGGCAGGGGAGACUGGAAUUCCUGGUGUAGCGGUGAAAUGCGCAGAUAUCAGGAGGAACACCAGUGGCGAAGGCGGUGCUCUGGGCCGGAACUGACGCUGAGGAGCGAAAGCGUGGGUAGCAAACAGG